UACUAUAACAUGUAGAAUCAUUAUAAUGGAUCCAGGUUCAUACUAUAACAUGUAGAAUCAUUAUGAUGAUCCAGGUUCAUAUUAUAACAUGUAGAAUCAUUAUGAUGAUCCAGGUUCAUACUAUAACAUGUAGAAUCAUUAUGAUGAUCCAGGUUCAUACUAUAACAUGUAGAAUCAUUAUGAUGAUCCAGGUUCAUACUAUAACAUGUAGAAUCAUUAUGAUGAUCCAGGUUCAUACUAUAACAUGUAGAAUCAUUAUGAUGAUCCAGGUUCAUACUAUAACAUGUAGAAUCAUUAUGAUGAUCCAGGUUCAUACUAUAACAUGUAGAAUCAUUAUGAUGAUCCAGGUUCAUACUAUAACAUGUAGAAUCAUUAUGAUGAUCCAGGUUCAUAUUAUAACAUGUAGA
Oncorhynchus keta (chum salmon) is the source of this 407-nucleotide long non-coding RNA. RefSeq lists it as uncharacterized. The record is from RefSeq and is a predicted model, not a curated record. Lineage: Eukaryota; Metazoa; Chordata; Actinopteri; Salmoniformes; Salmonidae. The transcript has 3 exons.